GCGCAGGAAAAGAAACCAACAGGGAUUGCCCUAGUAACGGCGAGUGAAGCGGCAACAGCUCAAAUUUGAAAUCUGGCUCUCGGGCCCGAGUUGUAAUUUGUAGAGGAUACUUUUGAUGCGGCGCCUUCCGAGUUCCCUGGAACGGGACGCCAUAGAGGGUGAGAGCCCCGUCUGGUUGGAUGCCAAAUCUCUGUAAAGUUCCUUCGACGAGUCGAGUAGUUUGGGAAUGCUGCUCUAAAUGGGAGGUAUAUGUCUUCUAAAGCUAAAUACCGGCCAGAGACCGAUAGCGCACAAGUAGAGUGAUCGAAAGAUGAAAAGCACUUUGAAAAGAGAGUUAAAAAGUACGUGAAAUUGUUGAAAGGGAAGCGUUUAUGACCAGACUUGGGCUUGGUUAAUCAUCUGGGGUUCUCCCCAGUGCACUUUUCCAGUCCAGGCCAGCAUCAGUUUUCGCCGGGGGAUAAAGACUUCGGGAAUGUGGCUCUCUUCGGGGAGUGUUAUAGCCCGUUGUGUAAUACCCUGGCGGGGACUGAGGUUCGCGCAUCUGCAAGGAUGCUGGCGUAAUGGUCAUCAACGACCCGUCUUGAAACACGGACUAAGGAGUCGUCUUCGUAUGCGGGUGUUCGGGUGUCAAACCCCUACGCGUAAUGAAAGUGAACGCAGGUGAGAGCUUCGGCGCAUCAUCGACCGAUCCUGAUGUUCUCGGAUGG
RNAcentral lists this ribosomal RNA (707 nucleotides) under uncultured Fusarium. Its description in RNAcentral is "eukaryotic LSU rRNA". It matches the Rfam family "Eukaryotic large subunit ribosomal RNA", at positions 50 to 787 of the family's 3401-position model. The record is from RNAcentral. Lineage: Eukaryota; Fungi; Ascomycota; Sordariomycetes; Hypocreales; Nectriaceae.